GAGUAACUAAUAAAUAAUAAUCUUCCUGUCUAUAUAUAUCAAUGAAACAUAGCUGAUAGAAAAGCUUAUCAGAGAGAAUGGAGAUUGAAAGAGUGCAAGACAUUGCUUGUCUUUCCAAAGACACCAUCCCAGAAGAGUUCAUUAGGUCAGAGAAUGAGCAGCCAGUAAUCACCACUGUUCAUGGGGUCAACCUGGAGGUGCCAGUAAUCGAUAUGAGCGACCUAAAUGAGGAAAAGAUUAGUCAUUUGAUUGUUGAUGCUAGCCAGAAAUGGGGAAUGUUCCAAAUAAUCAACCAUGGCAUACCUGAAGAGAUUAUGAACCAGUUUAAAAGUGUGGGUAAGGAGUUUUUUGAGCUUCCACAAGAAGAGAAAGAAGUUUAUGCAAAGAAACCUGGGACUAUGGAAGGCUAUGGAACAUCUCUUCAGAGAGAAAUUCAGGCCAAGAAAGGCUGGGUUGAUCAUUUGUUCCACAAGAUAUGGCCACCUUCCGUUAUUAACUACAAGUUUUGGCCUAAGAAUCCACCUUCUUACAGGAAGGCCAAUGAAGAGUACGUCAAAAACCUACAUGGAGUGGUGGAUAGACUAUUCAAGAGCUUGUCAAAAGGUCUAGGACUUGAAGAGAAUGAACUAAAGGAAGCUGCAGGUGGGAAUGAGUUAGUUUACCUCCUGAAAAUAAACUAUUACCCACCGUGCCCACGCCCAGAUCUGGCACUUGGGGUGGUGGCUCACACUGAUAUGUCCUGCAUCACCAUUCUUGUGCCCAAUGAUGUCCAGGGUCUUCAGGCCUAUAGAGACGGACACUGGUACGAUGUCAAGUGCAUCCCUAAUGCACUAAUCAUCCACAUCGGUGACCAGAUUGAGGUAGCUCUCUCAUUCUCUCCAAAAGGAAAAAAAAAAUGAUAAUUAUAAUAUAUAAAUUUUAUAUUUUUUUAAUCCGUACCUUAACCUUUUAAAGUAAAUGGAAUCAUUGGAGUUUGAAAUUACGAGAGAGACACCUUUCAAAUCUCAGCUAAUUAAAAAGCCUUUUCAUAAGAUGUAUAAACAACAAAGUGACAUUAUUAUAUUUAAAAAAAUAUUACACACAGUGAGAUGUUGAUAUUUUGUGAAAAAGAAAUUAACUCUGAAUACGUAGUAUUAAAAAAUUAUAUAUGUUAACAAAUUAGGUUGAUGGUUUUGGCAGAUCUUGAGCAACGGAAAGUACAAGAGUGUGCUUCACAGAACAACAGUGAACAAAGACAAGGCAAGAAUGUCAUGGCCGGUGUUCUUGGAGCCUCCGACGGAUUUUGAAGUGGGGCCUCACUCCAAGCUCGUUAACGAAGAGAAUCCACCCAAAUAUAAGACCAAGAAGUAUGGUGAUUAUUGUUAUUGUAAGCUCAACAAGAUUCCACAGUAGUAGUUGUUGUGUGCUGUAACGAGUGGUGCAAGAAAAUUAGAGUGAAAUGAGCAUGAGGAAGGAGAUUUAUCAUGUAACUUAGGCUUGUUUAGAUUAUCUAGUAAUAUUAAAUAUUAUCGUAUUCUCUAUCAUAUGAUUAUUGAAAAAUAAAUAGUUGAAAAUGAAUACCAUCUGUUUAAAUAAUUAACUUAUAAAUGUGUUAUUUA
RNAcentral lists this unclassified non-coding RNA (1598 nucleotides) under Hevea brasiliensis (rubber tree). Lineage: Eukaryota; Viridiplantae; Streptophyta; Magnoliopsida; Malpighiales; Euphorbiaceae. The record is from RNAcentral.